CUGAGUUAGGGUCUUGAUGGCCUGACCUCCAACCCUUUGUCUAUUAUACUUAUGUUGCUUUGGCGGGCCUGCCUUUCGGGGCUGCCGGGGGCCUUACUACCCCUGACCCGUGCCUGUCAGGAGCCAUUUUUAAAAUUCAGUGUUAAACUAUGUUGUCUGAGUCCCAAUAUCAAAUUAUAAA
RNAcentral lists this unclassified non-coding RNA (181 nucleotides) under uncultured Chaetothyriales. RNAcentral's name for it is "sequence contains ITS1". Lineage: Eukaryota; Fungi; Ascomycota; Eurotiomycetes; Chaetothyriales. The record is from RNAcentral.